UAGGGAAUCUUCGGCAAUGGACGAAAGUCUGACCGAGCAACGCCGCGUGAGUGAAGAAGGUUUUCGGAUCGUAAAACUCUGUUGUUAGAGAAGAACAAGGACGUUAGUAACUGAACGUCCCCUGACGGUAUCUAACCAGAAAGCCACGGCUAACUACGUGCCAGCAGCCGCGGUAAUACGUAGGUGGCAAGCGUUGUCCGGAUUUAUUGGGCGUAAAGCGAGCGCAGGCGGUUUCUUAAGUCUGAUGUGAAAGCCCCCGGCUCAACCGGGGAGGGUCAUUGGAAACUGGGAGACUUGAGUGCAGAAGAGGAGAGUGGAAUUCCAUGUGUAGCGGUGAGAUGCGUGGAUAUAUGGAGGAACACCAGUGGCGAAGGCGGCUCUCUGGUCUGUAACUGACGCUGAGGCUCGAAAGCGUGGGGAGCAAACAGG
RNAcentral lists this ribosomal RNA (429 nucleotides) under Gemmatimonadota bacterium. RNAcentral describes it as "Gemmatimonadetes bacterium partial 16S ribosomal RNA". It matches the Rfam family "Bacterial small subunit ribosomal RNA", at positions 355 to 776 of the family's 1533-position model. Lineage: Bacteria; Pseudomonadati; Gemmatimonadota. The record is from RNAcentral.